GACGAACGCUGGCGGCGUGCUUAACACAUGCAAGUCGAACGGAAAGGCCCUGCUUUUGUGGGGUGCUCGAGUGGUGAACGGGUGAGUAACAAGUGAGUAACCUGCCCUUGACUUUGGGAUAACUUCAGGAAACUGGGGCUAAUACCGGAUAGGAGCUCCUGCUGCAUGGUGGGGGUUGGAAAGUUUCGGCGGUUGGGGAUGGACUCGCGGCUUAUCAGCUUGUUGGUGGGGUAGUGGUUUACCAAGGCUUUGACGGGUAGCCGGCCUGAGAGGGUGACCGGCCACAUUGGGACUGAGAUACGGCCCAGACUCCUACGGGAGGCAGCAGUGGGGAAUAGUGCACAAUGGGCGGAAGCCUGAUGCAGCAACGCCGCGUGCGGGAUGACGGCCUUCGGGUUGUAAACCGCUUUCGCCUGUGACGAAGCGUGAGUGACGGUAAUGGGUAAAGAAGCACCGGCUAACUACGUG
RNAcentral lists this ribosomal RNA (468 nucleotides) under uncultured bacterium. RNAcentral describes it as "partial 16S ribosomal RNA". It matches the Rfam family "Bacterial small subunit ribosomal RNA", at positions 28 to 507 of the family's 1533-position model. The record is from RNAcentral.